This 484-nucleotide ribosomal RNA is filed under the name uncultured bacterium. Its description in RNAcentral is "partial 16S ribosomal RNA". It matches the Rfam family "Bacterial small subunit ribosomal RNA", at positions 30 to 507 of the family's 1533-position model. The record is from RNAcentral.
AUUGAACGCUGGCGGCAGGCCUAACACAUGCAAGUCGAGCGGAUGAAGGGAGCUUGCUCCUGGAUUCAGCGGCGGACGGGUGAGUAAUGCCUAGGAAUCUGCCUGGUAGUGGGGGAUAACGUCCGGAAACGGGCGCUAAUACCGCAUACGUCCUGAGGGAGAAAGUGGGGGAUCUUCGGACCUCACGCUAUCAGAUGAGCCUAGGUCGGAUUAGCUAGUUGGUGGGGUAACGGCCUACCAAGGCGACGAUCCGUAACUGGUCUGAGAGGAUGAUCAGUCACACUGGAACUGAGACACGGUCCAGACUCCUACGGGAGGCAGCAGUGGGGAAUAUUGGACAAUGGGCGAAAGCCUGAUCCAGCCAUGCCGCGUGUGUGAAGAAGGUCUUCGGAUUGUAAAGCACUUUAAGUUGGGAGGAAGGGCAGUAAGAUAAUACCUGGCUGUUUUGACGUUACCAACAGAAUAAGCACCGGCUAACUUCGUG